GUGGGGAAUCUUGCGCAAUGGGCGAAAGCCUGACGCAGCCAUGCCGCGUGAAUGAUGAAGGUCUUAGGAUUGUAAAAUUCUUUCACCGGGGACGAUAAUGACGGUACCCGGAGAAGAAGCCCCGGCUAACUUCGUGCCAGCAGCCGCGGUAAUACGAAGGGGGCUAGCGUUGCUCGGAAUUACUGGGCGUAAAGGGAGCGUAGGCGGACAUUUAAGUCAGGGGUGAAAUCCCGAGGCUCAACCUCGGAACUGCCUUUGAUACUGGGUGUCUUGAGUGUGAGAGAGGUGAGUGGAACUCCGAGUGUAGAGGUGAAAUUCGUAGAUAUUCGGAAGAACACCAGUGGCGAAGGCGACUCACUGGCCCGUUACUGACGCUGAGGCGCGAAAGCGUGGGGAGCAAACAGGAUUAGAUACCCGGGUAGUCC
RNAcentral lists this ribosomal RNA (425 nucleotides) under uncultured bacterium. RNAcentral's name for it is "partial 16S ribosomal RNA". It matches the Rfam family "Bacterial small subunit ribosomal RNA", at positions 354 to 796 of the family's 1533-position model. The record is from RNAcentral.